This is a long non-coding RNA of Hippocampus comes (tiger tail seahorse), 225 nucleotides long. RefSeq lists it as uncharacterized. The record is from RefSeq and is a predicted model, not a curated record. Lineage: Eukaryota; Metazoa; Chordata; Actinopteri; Syngnathiformes; Syngnathidae. The transcript is spliced from 3 exons.
CCUCUAGCCCUAACUCAAAUCAUCAUUCAAACUUUCUGAACUUGAAUUUAAAACGGACAGACUUGUAGGAGCAAAUGUUCCUCUAUGCGCAACACAGGACUGAAAACUCCCAUUAAGAAACAGACGACAUGAACGGAAAUUAUUGUUCUUCCUACGAGAAAUACCCAAGUAAUCAAGGAGUUGAUUGUUCUGAACAUUGUUAAAGUCAAGUUGCCCAGCGCUACA